AAACCAACAGGGAUUGCCUCAGUAACGGCGAGUGAAGCGGCAAAAGCUCAAAUUUGAAAUCUAGCACCUUCGGUGUUCGAGUUGUAAUUUGAAGAUGGUAACCUUGGGUUUGGCUCUUGUCUAUGUUCCUUGGAACAGGACGUCAUAGAGGGUGAGAAUCCCGUCUGAUGAGAUGCCCAUUCCUAUGUAAGGUGCUAUCGAAGAGUCGAGUUGUUUGGGAAUGCAGCUCUAAGUGGGUGGUAAAUUCCAUCUAAAGCUAAAUAUUGGCGAGAGACCGAUAGCGAACAAGUACAGUGAUGGAAAGAUGAAAAGAACUUUGAAAAGAGAGUGAAAAAGUACGUGAAAUUGUUGAAAGGGAAGGGCAUUAGAUCAGACUUGGUGUUUUACGAUUAUCUUCUCUUCUUGAGUUGUGCACUCGUAUUUCACUGGGCCAGCAUCGAUUCGGAUGGCAAGAUAAUGGCAGUUGAAUGUGGCUUCACUUCGGUGGAGUGUUAUAGCUUCUGCUGAUAUUGCCUGUCUGGAUCGAGGGCUGCGUCUUUUGACUAGGAUGCUGGCGUAAUGAUCUAAUGCCG
This 572-nucleotide ribosomal RNA is filed under the name Hansenula anomala. Its description in RNAcentral is "LSU rRNA". It matches the Rfam family "Eukaryotic large subunit ribosomal RNA", at positions 62 to 647 of the family's 3401-position model. The record is from RNAcentral. Lineage: Eukaryota; Fungi; Ascomycota; Saccharomycetes; Phaffomycetales; Wickerhamomycetaceae.